This 409-nucleotide ribosomal RNA is filed under the name Actinomycetes bacterium. Its description in RNAcentral is "Actinobacteria bacterium partial 16S ribosomal RNA". It matches the Rfam family "Bacterial small subunit ribosomal RNA", at positions 355 to 776 of the family's 1533-position model. The record is from RNAcentral. Lineage: Bacteria; Bacillati; Actinomycetota; Actinomycetes.
UGGGGAAUAUUGCACAAUGGGCGGAAGCCUGAUGCAGCGACGCCGCGUGGGGGAUGAAGGCCUUCGGGUUGUAAACUCCUUUCGACAGGGACGAAGCUUUUGUGACGGUACCUGUAUAAGAAGCACCGGCUAACUACGUGCCAGCAGCCGCGGUAAUACGUAGGGUGCGAGCGUUGUCCGGAAUUACUGGGCGUAAAGAGCUCGUAGGUGGUUUGUCGCGUCGUCUGUGAAAUUCCGGGGCUUAACUCCGGGCGUGCAGGCGAUACGGGCUGACUUGAGUGCUGUAGGGGAGACUGGAAUUCCUGGUGUAGCUGUGAAAUGCGCAGAUAUCAGGAGGAACUCCGAUGGCGAAGGCAGGUCUCUGGGCAGUAACUGACGCUGAGGAGCGAAAGCAUGGGUAGCGAACAGG